GAGGUCAUUCAAGUAUGCUUGGGUCCUUGACAAGCUCAAGGCUGAACGUGAACGUGGUAUUACUAUUGACAUUGCCCUUUGGAAGUUUGAGACUACCAAGUACUACUGCACAGUUAUUGAUGCUCCGGGACAUCGAGAUUUUAUCAAGAAUAUGAUUACUGGCACCUCCCAGGCUGAUUGUGCAAUUCUUAUCAUUGACUCCACCACUGGUGGCUUUGAAGCUGGUAUCUCAAAGGAUGGACAGACCCGUGAACAU
This 256-nucleotide unclassified non-coding RNA is filed under the name Hevea brasiliensis (rubber tree). The record is from RNAcentral. Lineage: Eukaryota; Viridiplantae; Streptophyta; Magnoliopsida; Malpighiales; Euphorbiaceae.